GGGCCCGCACAAGUGGUGGAGCAUGUGGUUUAAUUCGAUGCAACGCGAAGAACCUUACCAACCCUUGAAAUCUAGCGAAGUUCACAGAGAUGAGAAUGUGCCUUCGGGAACGCUAUGACAGGUGUUGCAUGGCUGUCGUCAGCUCGUGUCGUGAGAUGUAUGGUUAAGUCCAGUAACGAGCGCAACCCCUAUCCUUAUUUGCCAGCGCGUUAAGGCGGGAACUAUAGGGAGACUGCCGGGUGAAACCCGGAGGAAGGCGGGGACGAGGUCAAGUCAUCAUGGCCCUUAUGGGUUGGGCUACACACGUGCUACAAUGGGAAGUACAGAGGGAUGCGAAAGCGCGAGCUGGAGCCAAACCCUUAAAGUAUCUCAGUUCGGAUUGCACUCUGCAACUCGAGUGCAUG
This 404-nucleotide ribosomal RNA is filed under the name uncultured bacterium. RNAcentral's name for it is "bacterial SSU rRNA". It matches the Rfam family "Bacterial small subunit ribosomal RNA", at positions 917 to 1322 of the family's 1533-position model. The record is from RNAcentral.